UAGGGAAUAUUAGAAAUGGACGAAAGUCUGAUCUAGCAACACCGCGUGUGCGAAGAUGGCCUUCGGGUUGUAAAGCACUUUUUGGAAGGAUUAGGAAGGAAUGUACUUCCAGAAUAAGUCUCGGCUAACUACGUGCCAGCAGCCGCGGUAACACGUAGGAGGCAAACGUUAUCCGGAUUUACUGGGCGUAAAGCGCGUGUAGGUGGUUCUGUAAGUAGGGCGUGAAAGCACCUGGCUCAACUGGGAGAGGCCGUUUUAAACUGCAGAGAUAGAGGAUGGUAGAGGGAUGUGGGAUUCCGGGUGUAGCGGUGGAAUGCGCAGAUAUCCGGAGAAACACCAGUGGCGAAAGCGGCCUCCUGGACCAUUCCUGACACUCAGACGCGAAA
RNAcentral lists this ribosomal RNA (386 nucleotides) under uncultured bacterium. Its description in RNAcentral is "bacterial SSU rRNA". It matches the Rfam family "Bacterial small subunit ribosomal RNA", at positions 355 to 758 of the family's 1533-position model. The record is from RNAcentral.